GUGCCAGCAGCCGCGGUAAUACGUAGGGCGCAAGCGUUAUCCGGAAUUAUUGGGCGUAAAGAGCUCGUAGGCGGUUCGUCGCGUCUGGUGUGAAAGCCCAUCGCUUAACGAUGGGUCUGCGCCGGAUACGGGCGGGCUUGAGUGCAGUAGGGGAGACUGGAAUUCCCGGUGUAACGGUGGAAUGUGUAGAUAUCGGGAAGAACACCAAUGGCGAAGGCAGGUCUCUGGGCUGUUACUGACGCUGAGGAGCGAAAGCGUGGGGAGCAAACAGGAUUAGAUACCCUGGUAGUCCACGCUGUAAACGAUGUCGAUUUGGAAUUUGCGGUCUUGAGCUGUGGGUUCCGGAGCUAACGCGUUAAAUCGACCGCCUGGGGAGUACGGUCGCAAGGUUAAAACUCAAAGAAAUUGACGGGGGCCCGCACAAGCGGCGGAGCAUGCGGAUUAA
Molecule: ribosomal RNA, 445 nt
Filed under: uncultured bacterium
Lineage: Bacteria
Description: bacterial SSU rRNA
Rfam family: Bacterial small subunit ribosomal RNA
Source: RNAcentral